Papio anubis (olive baboon) is the source of this 148-nucleotide unclassified non-coding RNA. It matches the Rfam family "Metazoan signal recognition particle RNA". Rfam says of the family: The signal recognition particle (SRP) is a universally conserved ribonucleoprotein. It is involved in the co-translational targeting of proteins to membranes. The eukaryotic SRP consists of a 300-nucleotide 7S RNA and six proteins: SRPs 72, 68, 54, 19, 14, and 9. NCBI's taxonomy places the organism in Eukaryota, Metazoa, Chordata, Mammalia, Primates, Cercopithecidae. The record is from Ensembl.
GCUGGGUGUGGUGGCGCAUGCGUGUAGUCCCAGCUACUCAGGAGGCUGAGGUGGGAGGGUCACUUGAGCCCAGGAGAUCAAGGCUGUAGUGAGCUGUGAUCGCGCCACUGCACUCCAGCCUGGGCAACAGAGUGAGACCCUGUCUCAA